GAUGAAGAACGUAGCGAAAUGUGAUAAGUAGUGUGAAUUGCAGAAUUCAGUGAAUCAUCGAAUCUUUGAACGCACAUUGCGCCCCUUGGUAUUCCAUGGGGCAUGCCUGUUCGAGCGUCAUUUGUACCUUCAAGCUCUGCUUGGUGUUGGGUGUUUGUCUCGCCUCUGCGUGUAGACUCGCCUCAAAACAAUUGGCAGCCGGCGUAUUGAUUUCGGAGCGCAGUACAUCUCGCGCUUUGCACUCAUAACGACGACGUCCAAAAGUACAUUUUUACACUCUUGACCUCGGAUCAGGUAGGGAUACCCGCUGAACUUAAGCAUAUCAAUAAGCGAGGA
RNAcentral lists this unclassified non-coding RNA (336 nucleotides) under soil metagenome. Its description in RNAcentral is "partial contains 5.8S ribosomal RNA, internal transcribed spacer 2, and large subunit ribosomal RNA". The stretch from base 1 to 120 matches the Rfam family "5.8S ribosomal RNA", at positions 35 to 154 of the family's 154-position model. The record is from RNAcentral.